GGGGGAAGCAAAAUCGACAACAGUUUCACUACAGUUGGCUGACAGGUCAAUCAAACACCCUCGUGGUAUUUGUGAAGAUAUUUUGGUGAAGGUUGACAAGUUUAUCUUCCCAGCGGACUUCAUUAUUCUGGUAAAACAUGGCGCCCUAAAGUCAUCUGAUUUGGGAGUCAUCGGCCUAAAGCCUGCUACAUGAGUCAUCUAGAAAGCUUAAGGGAAAGUGUAAAAAAAAAAAAGCACUAAAUGCCUUGUAAGUCCCAACACUUGUUUGAGGGAACUUGACUUUCGAUAAAUGAUAAUUAACCUAAUUGAAUCUUGGCAGUCGAAGUAAUCAAAUAAUUUGAGAAUCCUUAUUCAUUGAUGCGUUAACUUGCAACUAGUGACAUCCACCUGAAUUGGAGAGGUGAGGAUAGUGAUAAAAAUUCAAUCUUAGAUCACACACUGGGAAAAGAGUGUGAAAAUGAUUUGGGGGUGUGUAAAUCUUACGAGAGAUGAAAAGAUAUAUUUGACCAUAGAGGGUCGGGAAUUGAAAUAACUUGUAAAUUCAUUAAUGUUUACUUAGUUCUUCACACACACACGUCGAUUUUGCAUUGGAAAAAUGGAUAUUAGUUUGGUACUGUGACUUUGAAGUAGUUUGUAGAUUUAAUAUUGUGAUUUCAAAUUCUGAGGCAAAAAGCUAAAUUGUCUAACCAAAUAUUUUUGCAUGUUUGUGUUAUAAUUUUGUCUGAGGACAAACAAAUAUUUAAGUUUGGGGGUGUUUGAUAAGUGUAUUUUAUAUACUUAUUCGAGGCUCUAAAAUAACGAUAUUUGAUAGUCUUUUAGCAAAAUAUAUUCUAAAUUGUUGUGUCUUACGUUUAAUAGGUGAAUUUUCAUGGAUUAAAAGGAAGUGAAGGAAAGAAGAGAAAAUUGGGCGAAAAUGGCAAUAUUUAAAGUACGUGGAUUAAAGUGGCCAUUGAAAGAAAAUUGGAGAGCAAUUGGAAUCCUUUUGAAAGUCAAAUAUUGUGGGCUAGGUUACCACUAAUAUAUAUACACAUGCUGGCGAAAAUAAAAAAGAAAGAAGGGAGGAUAGAUACACAUUAAUUGGACACGGCAGCUUAUUAAAAAAAGGGGGCUGAAUUUGGAAUCCAAAAAUCACAAAAAUAAGGGCUGCGGUUGGAGUGUGUGUGUGUGUGUAUAUAUAUAUAUAUAUAUAUAGCGGCUACUGGUGAGUUAAAACAUUGGGCUGAAUUUAUUAAUUCAUACACUAAGUUGGUGGCUGCAACUUUGAAGAUAAAAAUCACGCAAUUUGGCAGCGACCUUGGGGGAGGAAAAACAUUGACAGCAAGGGAGAUAUAUUCCACAUGUGGACUUGACUCCAAAAGAAAAAGGAGGGUUGUUUCUGCUAUAAUAUAUAUACAUACACGCAUAUUGGCAGCUGGUGGGAAUUGGGAAGAAAAUAAACUACAAAUUGGUGGUUGCUUUUAAGGAGAAAUUGAAAGAUAACUAUUGCUGGCUGCUGGAGACAAGUGGGCGGCUCUGAAUCAGAUUUUAUAUACAUAUAAAUUGGUGGCCGGCAGAUGAAAAUUGAAGAAGCAGAAUUGUUACACACGCAUAUAGUCGGCAAUUGAAUUGGAGAGCAGCUUCAAGGAUAAAUUGCAGUCAAAUACUACGGCAAAUAUGAAGACGGCAACCGCAAGAAAGACACGGAUUAUUGGAUUAUAAUUGGAGUUAAACACGUCCGUCAAUUUUUGGUGAUAUCCUUCCACUUUUAUUUGUUUGAUUCCAAUAAUAUGUUAGGCUAAUUCGUUUCAUGUAUUGGAUGAUAACAAAAUUGUUUAAUUUUUAGUGUUAAUUCGAGACCUAUGUUUUUAUGUUAAUUCUUGCAUUGUGAUUCCAUUAAUAUGCCUAUUUAUACUGUUUUAGUGUUUGCGCUCCAUUAGGACAAUAAGUUUCUUAUUCGUAGUGUUGGAAAACUCACGGUAGGUAGAACAUUGUUAUUGGAACACACGAGCAAUAAAUAUUAGGAAUAAUAUUUGUGGCCUGUACGAUCUUAUGUGAUAAUCCUAAAUGUUAAUGCAUGUUUGCCAUAUGAAGUUGGACUAGGAAUAGGAUCGUCUCGUGGUAAUUAUAGGUUUAUUAUAUCCUGGGAAAUAAUAAUAAAGAAUAGUGAAAUUAUCGAUCGUCGCAACUGUAUAAAU
RNAcentral lists this long non-coding RNA (2174 nucleotides) under Olea europaea subsp. europaea. Lineage: Eukaryota; Viridiplantae; Streptophyta; Magnoliopsida; Lamiales; Oleaceae. The record is from RNAcentral.